AGCAAUGCGUUUCUUAGUCACCUGUGUUCUCUUGGCAUUGGCUCUUUGCAGCGCCGUGGAGUGUCAUGAGGAUAUUUUUAAACGACUAGCUGAGGAUAUUAAACAUGUCGCCGACAAAUUUGCCCAUGAUGUGAAACAUGGUUUCCAUGAUUUUGGCGAUGAUGUGAAACAUGUUGCUGACGAAUUUGGUCAUGAUGUCAAAGAUGCGGUCCAUGAUACUGAAGAUGCCCUGAAGAAAUUUGGUGAUGAUGUUGAUAAA
This is a long non-coding RNA of Musca vetustissima, 259 nucleotides long. RefSeq lists it as uncharacterized. NCBI's taxonomy places the organism in Eukaryota, Metazoa, Arthropoda, Insecta, Diptera, Muscidae. The record is from RefSeq and is a predicted model, not a curated record. The transcript is spliced from 3 exons.